GGACGAACGCUGGCGGCGUGCUUAACACAUGCAAGUCACGGGGGUCUCGCAAGAGAGAACCGGCGAACGGGUGCGUAACACGUGAACAACCUGCCGUUGUGAGGGGGAUAGCCGGGCUAACGCCCGGGUAAUACCGCAUACGCUGCCCGAGGGGAGUCCCUUGGGGAGGAAAGCCAUGGCGCAAGCGAUGGCGCACGACGAGGGGUUCGCGGCCUAUCAGCUAGUUGGGGG
RNAcentral lists this ribosomal RNA (231 nucleotides) under uncultured bacterium. Its description in RNAcentral is "partial 16S ribosomal RNA". It matches the Rfam family "Bacterial small subunit ribosomal RNA", at positions 27 to 255 of the family's 1533-position model. The record is from RNAcentral.